AGGGUGUAAACGCUGCCGACUUGGUGUUGGAGGCCCUUCGGGGGCAUUCAGUGCCGGAGAGAAGUUGUUAAGUCGGCCACUUGGGGAGUACGUCCGCAAGGAUGAAACUUAAAGGAAUUGGCGGGGGAGCACCGCAACGGGAGGAGCGUGCGGUUUAAUUGGAUUCAACACCGGAAAACUCACCAAGGAAGACUGUUACAUGAAGGCCGAGAUGAAGACUCUGCUAGAUUUUUCAGAGAGGAGGUGCAUGGCGUCAGUGACU
This 262-nucleotide ribosomal RNA is filed under the name uncultured archaeon. RNAcentral describes it as "partial 16S ribosomal RNA". It matches the Rfam family "Archaeal small subunit ribosomal RNA", at positions 748 to 1008 of the family's 1478-position model. The record is from RNAcentral.